UACGUAGGGUGCGAGCGUUGUCCGGAAUUAUUGGGCGUAAAGGGCUCGUAGGCGGUUUGUCGCGUCGGGAGUGAAAACUCAGGGCUUAACCCUGAGCCUGCUUCCGAUACGGGCAGACUAGAGGUAUGCAGGGGAGAACGGAAUUCCUGGUGUAGCGGUGAAAUGCGCAGAUAUCAGGAGGAACACCGGUGGCGAAGGCGGAUCUCUGGGCCAUUACUGACGCUGAGGAGCGAAAGCGUGGGGAGCGAACAGG
Molecule: ribosomal RNA, 253 nt
Filed under: uncultured bacterium
Lineage: Bacteria
Description: partial 16S ribosomal RNA
Rfam family: Bacterial small subunit ribosomal RNA
Source: RNAcentral